Molecule: transfer RNA, 55 nt
Filed under: Pingus sinensis
Lineage: Eukaryota; Metazoa; Nematoda; Chromadorea; Rhabditida; Quimperiidae
Description: tRNA-Glu
Source: RNAcentral
GAGAUACUAGUAUAAUUAAGUAUAUCUAUCUUUCAAGUAGGGGGUUGGUAUCUUA